GGGGGCCCGCAAGCGGUGGAGUAUGUGGUUUAAUUCGAAGCAACGCGCAGAACCUUACCUGGUCUUGACAUCGCGUGACAACUACAGAGAUGUAGCUUUCCCUUCGGGGACACGUAGACAGGUGCUGCAUGGCUGUCGUCAGCUCGUGUUGUGAAAUGUUCGGUUAAGUCCGGCAACGAGCGCAACCCCUGUCCUUAGUUACCACCAUUAAGUUGGGGACUCUAGGGAGACUGCCGGUGUUAAACCGGAGGAAGGCGGGGAUGACGUCAAGUCCUCAUGGCCCUUACGACCAGGGCUACACACGUACUACAAUGGUAGAAACAGUCCGUUGCGAAGCCGCGAGGUGGAGCUAAUCGGAAAAACACUAUCUCAGUCCGGAUUGAAGUCUGCAACUCGACUUCAUGAAGUUGGAAUCGCUAGUAAUCGGAGAUCAGCACGCUCCGGUGAAUACGUUCCCGGGCCUUGUACACACC
RNAcentral lists this ribosomal RNA (473 nucleotides) under uncultured bacterium. RNAcentral describes it as "bacterial SSU rRNA". It matches the Rfam family "Bacterial small subunit ribosomal RNA", at positions 915 to 1391 of the family's 1533-position model. The record is from RNAcentral.